RNAcentral lists this ribosomal RNA (270 nucleotides) under uncultured bacterium. RNAcentral's name for it is "partial 16S ribosomal RNA". It matches the Rfam family "Bacterial small subunit ribosomal RNA", at positions 524 to 794 of the family's 1533-position model. The record is from RNAcentral.
UACGUAGGUGGCAAGCGUUGUCCGGAAUUAUUGGGCGUAAAGCGCGCGCAGGUGGCUAUGUAAGUCUGAUGUUAAAGCCCGAGGCUCAACCUCGGUUCGCAUUGGAAACUGCGUAGCUUGAGUGCAGGAGAGGAAAGUGGUAUUCCACGUGUAGCGGUGAAAUGCGUAGAGAUGUGGAGGAACACCAGUGGCGAAGGCGACUUUCUGGCCUGUAACUGACACUGAGGCGCGAAAGCGUGGGGAGCAAACAGGAUUAGAUACCCUGGUAGU